CUGUACCAAUUCGAUGCCCACUACACAAGGGAAUGGGGAAAUAACAAUUAGAAAUGUCACACAAAGAUAUCACCAAAAUUGGCAUCCAAUGACAAGGAUUUCAAGGCUACAAUUUUAUUGCCUCCCAUCUUUACAAAAACACUCAUCAUACAUCAAGGAAUUUCACCUGAAACACAAGUAUUGAGUGGCUAUUAUUCAUAAAAUUUUCAUUUAUCACAUUUUUUUCAGGCCAUUGUAAUCCUUGGCUUUUUAUUAUCUAGCGAUCAUAGUGAUUUAGUUCCAUUAUAAGAAAAUGGAUUGAUGGGUAAUACUCAUCACUGACACUCAUUGAAUAAACAA
Molecule: unclassified non-coding RNA, 339 nt
Filed under: Hevea brasiliensis (rubber tree)
Lineage: Eukaryota; Viridiplantae; Streptophyta; Magnoliopsida; Malpighiales; Euphorbiaceae
Source: RNAcentral